Molecule: unclassified non-coding RNA, 331 nt
Filed under: soil metagenome
Description: partial contains 5.8S ribosomal RNA, internal transcribed spacer 2, and large subunit ribosomal RNA
Rfam family: 5.8S ribosomal RNA (bases 1-120)
Source: RNAcentral
GAUGAAGAACGCAGCGAAAUGCGAUAAGUAGUGUGAAUUGCAGAAUUCAGUGAAUCAUCGAAUCUUUGAACGCACAUUGCGCCCUUUGGUAUUCCUUAGGGCAUGCCUGUUCGAGCGUCAUUUAAACCUUCAAGCUAAGCUUGGUGUUGGGUGACUGUCCGCUUCACGGCGGACUCGCCUUAAAAUUAUUGGCGGCCGGUACAUUGGCUUCGAGCGCAGCAGAAACGCGAACUCGGGCCCGUCGUAUUGGCUCCCAGAAGCUAUCUUCACAAUUUUGACCUCGGAUCAGGUAGGGAUACCCGCUGAACUUAAGCAUAUCAAUAGCGGAGGA